Caenorhabditis elegans is the source of this 130-nucleotide non-coding RNA. NCBI's taxonomy places the organism in Eukaryota, Metazoa, Nematoda, Chromadorea, Rhabditida, Rhabditidae. The record is from Ensembl.
CAACCACAGAUGAAAAUCCGUUUAGCGCGGGAGAAAAGGAGAAGCCUUUUCGAAUACUUUUCUGGGUGGCCUUCCCAUUUUCUCUUUCAAAAUUUCUUCCAGUAAAAUCUCAUAAAGGGAUUACUGUACU